GGGGAAUAUUGCACAAUGGGCGCAAGCCUGAUGCAGCCAUGCCGCGUGUGUGAAGAAGGCCUUCGGGUUGUAAAGCACUUUCAGUAAGGAGGAAAGGUUAGUCACUAAUAUUGGCUAGCUGUGACGUUACUUACAGAAGAAGCACCGGCUAACUCCGUGCCAGCAGCCGCGGUAAUACGGAGGGUGCGAGCGUUAAUCGGAAUUACUGGGCGUAAAGCGUACGCAGGCGGUUUGUUAAGCGAGAUGUGAAAGCCCCGGGCUCAACCUGGGAACUGCAUUUCGAACUGGCAAACUAGAGUGUGAUAGAGGGUGGUAGAAUUUCAGGUGUAGCGGUGAAAUGCGUAGAGAUCUGAAGGAAUACCGAUGGCGAAGGCAGCCACCUGGGUCAACACUGACGCUCAUGUACGAAAGCGUGGGGAGCAAACA
RNAcentral lists this ribosomal RNA (426 nucleotides) under uncultured Pseudoalteromonas sp. Its description in RNAcentral is "bacterial SSU rRNA". It matches the Rfam family "Bacterial small subunit ribosomal RNA", at positions 356 to 774 of the family's 1533-position model. Lineage: Bacteria; Pseudomonadati; Pseudomonadota; Gammaproteobacteria; Alteromonadales; Pseudoalteromonadaceae. The record is from RNAcentral.